RNAcentral lists this ribosomal RNA (800 nucleotides) under uncultured Ralstonia sp. Its description in RNAcentral is "bacterial SSU rRNA". It matches the Rfam family "Bacterial small subunit ribosomal RNA", at positions 8 to 796 of the family's 1533-position model. The record is from RNAcentral. Lineage: Bacteria; Pseudomonadati; Pseudomonadota; Betaproteobacteria; Burkholderiales; Burkholderiaceae.
AGAGUUUGAUCCUGGCUCAGAUUGAACGCUGGCGGCAUGCCUUACACAUGCAAGUCGAACGGCAGCAUGAUCUAGCUUGCUAGAUUGAUGGCGAGUGGCGAACGGGUGAGUAAUACAUCGGAACGUGCCCUGUAGUGGGGGGAUAACUAGUCGAAAGAUUAGCUAAUACCGCAUACGACCUGAGGGUGAAAGUGGGGGACCGCAAGGCCUCAUGCUAUAGGAGCGGCCGAUGUCUGAUUAGCUAGUUGGUGAGGUAAAGGCUCACCAAGGCGACGAUCAGUAGCUGGUCUGAGAGGACGAUCAGCCACACUGGGACUGAGACACGGCCCAGACUCCUACGGGAGGCAGCAGUGGGGAAUUUUGGACAAUGGGGGCAACCCUGAUCCAGCAAUGCCGCGUGUGUGAAGAAGGCCUUCGGGUUGUAAAGCACUUUUGUCCGGAAAGAAAUCGCACUUACUAAUAUUAGGUGUGGAUGACGGUACCGGAAGAAUAAGGACCGGCUAACUACGUGCCAGCAGCCGCGGUAAUACGUAGGGUCCAAGCGUUAAUCGGAAUUACUGGGCGUAAAGCGUGCGCAGGCGGUUGUGCAAGACCGAUGUGAAAUCCCCGGGCUUAACCUGGGAAUUGCAUUGGUGACUGCACGGCUAGAGUGUGUCAGAGGGGGGUAGAAUUCCACGUGUAGCAGUGAAAUGCGUAGAGAUGUGGAGGAAUACCGAUGGCGAAGGCAGCCCCCUGGGAUAACACUGACGCUCAUGCACGAAAGCGUGGGGAGCAAACAGGAUUAGAUACCCCAGUAGUCC